GGUCUCUAUUUUUGGUCCAGAACUGAUACGGUACAAUCCUGAAAGGUCAAUAUCAAACCCUCCCAGCAGACUUGAUUUUGACAUAUUCACUAGCAUAGCAUACAUCAUUAUGAGAUUUUAUUAUUCUCGUCCCCACGCUUAUUUUGUGCUCCCAAAUCCGUCAAAUUUCGGCUGGGCGGUCAGGCUCAUGAUAGAUGGACAGACGGUGCCAUCCAAUUCUGGGUUGGUCAGCCUUCUCCGUACAGAAGCUUCUAGAUUCACCUACCCC
Molecule: long non-coding RNA, 268 nt
Filed under: Elaeis guineensis (African oil palm)
Lineage: Eukaryota; Viridiplantae; Streptophyta; Magnoliopsida; Arecales; Arecaceae
Description: long non-coding RNA (EGUI_LNC001261)
Source: RNAcentral